This 93-nucleotide transfer RNA is filed under the name Salmo salar (Atlantic salmon). It matches the Rfam family "tRNA". Rfam says of the family: Transfer RNA (tRNA) molecules are approximately 80 nucleotides in length. Their secondary structure includes four short double-helical elements and three loops (D, anti-codon, and T loops). RNAcentral also lists the same sequence under 1 other name. The record is from Rfam by way of RNAcentral. Lineage: Eukaryota; Metazoa; Chordata; Actinopteri; Salmoniformes; Salmonidae.
GUCCCUGUGGCUCAGUUGGUAGAGCAUGGUGUUUGCAGCGCCAGCAUGGUGUGUGCAACGCCAGGGUUGUGGGUUCGAUUCCCACGGGGGGCC